GCAACUUGGAGGAAUGAAUAGCGAAAGCUUAUUACGUAAAAAGUAAGAAUGAUUAUAUCAUAUAAAAUUCUGAAUAUGUUUUGAUAAUGACAAAAUAUGUUUAAAGGUCUUGACCAAUUCACGUGCCAGCAGUCGCGGUAAUACGUGUAAGACAAGUGUUAUUCAUCUUUAAUAGGUUUAAAGGGUACCUAGACGGUAAAAAAAGCCAGUAAGGGAACUAUUUUACUAGAGUUUUAUAGGAGGUGUGAAAACUAUCGUACGGAGGGUGUAGUGAUAAAAUACGUUGAUACCUAACGGACUGUCAACGGCGAAAGCGUUAUCCUAUGUAUAAACUGACGUUGAGGGACGAAGGCUAGGGUCACCAAAAGGAUUAGAUACCCAAGCAGUCCUAGCAGACAAUUAUGAAUGCCAUAUGUAAUAUUUUACAUGUUAUGUAUAAAUGAAAGUGUAAGCAUUUCACCUCAAGAGUAAAGUGGCAACACCGAAACUGAAAUCAUUAGACCGCUUUUGAGACCAGUAGUGAAGUAUGUUGUUUAAUUUGAUGAUCCGCAAACAACCUUACCACAAUUUGAAUAUUUAUAUAUUUAUUAUAUAUUUACAAGCGUUGCACGGCUGUUUUCAGUUAAUGUCGUGAGACUUUGGUUAGAUCCAUUUAAUUAACG
This 662-nucleotide small RNA is filed under the name Aspidothelium geminiparum. Its description in RNAcentral is "SSU rRNA". It matches the Rfam family "Bacterial small subunit ribosomal RNA", at positions 348 to 1098 of the family's 1533-position model. The record is from RNAcentral. Lineage: Eukaryota; Fungi; Ascomycota; Lecanoromycetes; Thelenellaceae.